AGCAGCCGCGGUAAUUCCAGCUCCAAUAGCGUAUAUUAAAGUUGUUGCAGUUAAAAGCUCGUAGUUGAAUUUCGGGGUUCUACCGUUGGUCGGGCUAUUGUCUGUACUGGCGUGUAGAAUUUCUACCUUCUGGGGAACUAUCAUGUUAUUAAUUUAGCGUGGUAGGAAACCAGGACCUUUACCUUGAAAAAUUAGAGUGUUCAAAGCAGGCUUAUGUCUGAAUACAUUAGCAUGGAAUAAUAAAAUAGGACGGUGGUCCUGUUUUGUUGGUUUCUGAAUCACCGUAAUGAUUAAUAGGGAUAGUUGGGGGCAUUAGUAUUCAAUUGUCGGAGGUGAAAUUCUUGGAUUUAUUGAAGCUAACUACUGCGAAAGCAUUUGCCAAGGAUGUUUUCAUUAAUCAAGAACGAAAGUUAGGGGAUCGAAGACGAUCAGAUACCGUCGUAGUCUUAACCAUAAACUAUGCCGACUAGGGAUCGGACGAUGUUAACUUUUCUUGACUCGUUCGCGCCUUACGGGAACC
This 520-nucleotide unclassified non-coding RNA is filed under the name uncultured Scutellospora. Its description in RNAcentral is "SSU rRNA". It matches the Rfam family "Eukaryotic small subunit ribosomal RNA", at positions 569 to 1098 of the family's 1831-position model. Lineage: Eukaryota; Fungi; Glomeromycota; Glomeromycetes; Diversisporales; Gigasporaceae. The record is from RNAcentral.